AUACGGAGGAUCCGAGCGUUAUCCGGAUUUAUUGGGUUUAAAGGGUGCGCAGGCGGCCAUUUAAGUCAGCGGUUAAAUCGUGGGGCUCAACCCCAUUCUGCCGUUGAUACUGGGUGGCUUGAUUGCGGUCGAGGUUGGCGGAAUUCGUUGUGUAGCGGUGAAAUGCAUAGAUAUGACGAAGAACACCGAUUGCGUAGGCAGCUGACCAGAACGCAAAUGACGCUCAUGCACGAAAGUGCGGGGAUCGAGCAGGAUUAGAUACCCUGGUAGUCCGCACAGUAAACGAUGAAUACUUGUUUUCGGCGAUAUAAUGUCGGAGGCAAAGCGAAAGCGAUAAGUAUUCCACCUGGGGAGUACGCCGGCAACGGUGAAACUCAAAGGAAUUGACGGGG
This 392-nucleotide ribosomal RNA is filed under the name uncultured bacterium. RNAcentral describes it as "partial 16S ribosomal RNA". It matches the Rfam family "Bacterial small subunit ribosomal RNA", at positions 523 to 918 of the family's 1533-position model. The record is from RNAcentral.